GGAGCGAGUUUGAUCCUGGCUCAGGAUGAACGCUAGCGGCAGGCCUAACACAUGCAAGUCGAGGGGUAACAGGAAAAAGCUUGCUCUUCCGCUGACGACCGGCGCACGGGUGCGUAACGCGUAUGCAACCUACCUUUUACAGGAGUAUAGCCCAGAGAAAUUUGGAUUAAUCCUCCAUAAUAUCUUAAUCAUGCAUAUGAUAAAGAUUAAAGCUUCGGUGGUAAAAGAUGGGCAUGCGUUUUAUUAGCUAGUAGGUGAGGUAACGGCUCACCUAGGCCACGAUAAAUAGGGGCCCUGAGAGGGGGAUCCCCCACACUGGUACUGAGACACGGACCAGACUCCUACGGGAGGCAGCAGUGAGGAAUAUUGGACAAUGGACGAAAGUCUGAUCCAGCCAUGCCGCGUGCAGGAUGACGGCCCUAUGGGUUGUAAACUGCUUUUAUACAGGAAGAAACACUCCCACGUGUGGGGGCUUGACGGUACUGUACGAAUAAGGAUCGGCUAACUCCGUGCCAGCAGCCGCGGUAAUACGGAGGAUCCAAGCGUUAUCCGGAAUUAUUGGGUUUAAAGGGUCCGCAGGCGGUCUAUUAAGUCAGAAGUGAAAUCUUGC
Molecule: ribosomal RNA, 610 nt
Filed under: uncultured bacterium
Lineage: Bacteria
Description: bacterial SSU rRNA
Rfam family: Bacterial small subunit ribosomal RNA
Source: RNAcentral